RNAcentral lists this ribosomal RNA (496 nucleotides) under uncultured bacterium. Its description in RNAcentral is "partial 16S ribosomal RNA". It matches the Rfam family "Bacterial small subunit ribosomal RNA", at positions 29 to 507 of the family's 1533-position model. The record is from RNAcentral.
AUGAACGCUGGCGGCGUGCCUAAUACAUGCAAGUCGAGCGAACAGACGAGGAGCUUGCUCCUCUGACGUUAGCGGCGGACGGGUGAGUAACACGUGGAUAACCUACCUAUAAGACUGGGAUAACUUCGGGAAACCGGAGCUAAUACCGGAUAAUAUAUUGAACCGCAUGGUUCAAUAGUGAAAGACGGUUUUGCUGUCACUUAUAGAUGGAUCCGCGCCGCAUUAGCUAGUUGGUAAGGUAACGGCUUACCAAGGCAACGAUGCGUAGCCGACCUGAGAGGGUGAUCGGCCACACUGGAACUGAGACACGGUCUAGACUCCUACGGGAGGCAGCAGUAGGGAAUCUUCCGCAAUGGGCGAAAGCCUGACGGAGCAACGCCGCGUGAGUGAUGAAGGUCUUCGGAUCGUAAAACUCUGUUAUUAGGGAAGAACAAAUGUGUAAGUAACUAUGCACGUCUUGACGGUACCUAAUCAGAAAGCCACGGCUAACUACGUG